RNAcentral lists this long non-coding RNA (264 nucleotides) under Amborella trichopoda. Its description in RNAcentral is "long non-coding RNA (ATRI_LNC003700)". The record is from RNAcentral. Lineage: Eukaryota; Viridiplantae; Streptophyta; Magnoliopsida; Amborellales; Amborellaceae.
CAAUCUAAAAAAUCUCACUUUGCUCACCUAAUCUCAGCUAGACAUCUAGUUCUUCAUUGACAUUCAAGCUUGACAAGGAUUUAAUUUGCAGAGAGUUCAGGUGGCUAAUAUCAGUGACUGGCCUAGUUGAUUUGCCGUGAGUUAUAUAAGAUGUUUUGUACAUCAAGGGUUGGUUGUCUAUUGGGGACCACCUCAAUGCAAUCAGGUCUCAACAUGGAAAAUGUAGUGGUGGUAGGGUUACCACUACUAUAUAUCUAAGUUAAU